This 502-nucleotide ribosomal RNA is filed under the name uncultured bacterium. RNAcentral's name for it is "partial 16S ribosomal RNA". It matches the Rfam family "Bacterial small subunit ribosomal RNA", at positions 30 to 523 of the family's 1533-position model. The record is from RNAcentral.
AUUGAACGCUGGCGGAAUGCUUUACACAUGCAAGUCGAACGGCAGCAUAGGUGCUUGCACCUGAUGGCGAGUGGCGAACGGGUGAGUAAUACAUCGGAACGUGCCCAGUCGUGGGGGAUAACGUAGCGAAAGUUACGCUAAUACCGCAUACGAUCUAAGGAUGAAAGCGGGGGACCGUAAGGCCUCGCGCGAUUGGAGCGGCCGAUGUCAGAUUAGGUAGUUGGUGAGGUAAAGGCUCACCAAGCCGACGAUCUGUAGCUGGUCUGAGAGGACGACCAGCCACGCUGGGACUGACACACGGCCCAGACUCCUACGGGAGGCAGCAGUGGGGAAUUUUGGACAAUGGACGCAAGUCUGAUCCAGCCAUUCCGCGUGCAGGACGAAGGCCUUCGGGUUGUAAACUGCUUUUGUACGGAACGAAAAAGCUCUUACUAAUACUAGGAGUCCAUGACGGUACCGUAGGAAUAAGCACCGGCUAACUACGUGCCAGCCGCCGCAGUAA